Molecule: long non-coding RNA, 4332 nt
Organism: Taeniopygia guttata (zebra finch)
Lineage: Eukaryota; Metazoa; Chordata; Aves; Passeriformes; Estrildidae
Source: Ensembl
UGAAGAACCAUUCACUGACCGAGAUACUUUCUUCACCAAUGACAGAUGGUCUGAAAGGAAAAAAAAAAAAAAAAAGUGAAUAUUUGGCUUCAAAACUGAAAACAGACACAUCACGCUCCCCUUUCUCUACUACCUUAAAAAUACCCACUGGCCUGUCUCCACUUAGAUGCUGGUAUUUUCUGAAAUAGUACCACCAGCUUCCUCCUAACCGUGACAUAAGCUGUAGCAAGCUGUCUGCAGUGAUAGCCUGCAUAAAUCAUCGCUCCUGAAGGGAACAGAUGUUCAGGGUAUGAAAGAGUAAUACCACAAUUUAGUCAUAAUUAAAAUUCACCUUAGCAUGCCUCUAUCAGUGAGCAGAGAGGAACAUUUCACUUCUCACCUACAAAAAUGAAAUGCCUCUCAUUUCUUCUGCUUCAGAAAAAUUAAGUCUGAACCUUUUGUACAUUGUUUGGGUUCCACGUCUGACACCGCAUCGUAUAAAUGACAUUUUUAUUUCACUUCAAUUCCUAGUUUUUUUCCUUCCCCAAACACUAGGAAAUUACCUCUAAAUGGUGUACUGCCACUGCACAAAAUGCACUUACAAUUAAACCUUCAAAGGAAAUUGUUGCACAUUGCAUGCAGAAAUACAAUCAGUAUCCAGCUACGGAUCAGACCUGUGCCAAUAAACACAAUCAUUGGACUGAUAACAAUUCACUCUGAGCUGGAUAUAUUUAAAAACUUAGGGGCUGGAGGCCUUUAAAAAUUAUUCCUUAACCUAAGAUCACUAAAAUCAGUGGGAGUUAGAGGAUUAACUCAGGAAAAUUUGAACCUUAGCCUUGUAACUGCCAUUAACAUUAAUGGAAUGUCUCUAUACACAUAAUUCUGAAAAUGUAAGCUUCAUACUGCUGUUAUUACACUUGGAUUACAUUAGAUGCAUGACAGUUCUUUUGAAAAAAAUGGUUUCAAUUUAUAGGCCUUUAUAUCAUGAGGCUACAUUAUUAUAAAAUAUAAAGGAUAUGUUGAUUUUGUUACUAAAUUUCUCUAAAUUCACUAAAGUAAAAAUGGCUGAGCCUUUCGUAGCACUUUAAAAUUCUAAGACAAAAAAAAUAAUCUUAUAAUCAGCAUUGAUACUGGCAAUCAAUUUGAAAAAAUAAAAAACCAGCCCUGUCAUUAAACCAUGGUUUAGUUUCCCAGUUAAAUCUUUAGUGACUGUUCAUGGGUUAGAUCCUUAGUGAAUGUAAAUUAGGUAAUUUUAUUGAAUUCAGUACAGCUGAAUUUAACUUAUGAGGACUGAGAAUAUGAAUUGAUAAAUUAUUAAUCCAGUAAGGGUUUUGUAGUAAAACUUACCUCUCAACAGGAAAGGGAAUUUCAAAUUUGCACUUGAACAAUUGUGGUUUGUUUUGUUCUGUGGGGAUGUAUCUACAGCUAGUCAAGCAAAGACUGCAAUUUUUAGGUGAGGGACCCAAAGGUUCCACUUAAUGUACUUUGAUUCCUAUCAGAAAGCAGUUCCAAAGCAUGCAAACAGAUAUAAUUUGGAUAAAUUAAAGCAAUGGAUGUGAUCUAAAGCCCCUGCAUUAUUCCACAGUACAGAGUGGAGAUAGCUCAGGGUAUUUUCUUUUAAAACACGUGUAGUGUGGGCAUCGAGAUCCUCUGUACAAACAACUGUUUCCUUCCACACAUUUUUUUCCUGUUGUUUAAAACUUGGUAACAUAGAUGUAGUUCUAUUUUUCUGCUCUCUUCUCCAGAGCCCUUCCAGUUCCUUGUAGAAUUUAGGAAUUUUGUCUUAUCUCCACUUUUUAAACAGAACAAAUCUGCUCCUGCAGUUAUCAGGAAAUUAUUCUGUGGUUGCUGUGAAAUUUGGCAUGUGCAUUUGGUAUGGACUUGUUAAAAUCUUCUGCUAAAAUCCUACACAUUGCCACCCAUUCCAGCAUCAAAUGACUUGGCUGACACUGGCUGCACUGGGGAGUCUCAAGCUCACAAAGUACAGGUAAAACUGCCAGGUAGGAUACAGACAAGUGAAGAUCACCCUUUUAUCUGCCACAGCAUAAUUCCAAUUAUUAUUGUUAGCCACAGCUAAAUGGAAAAAUGCUAGAUCAGGAAAUGCAGAAGUGACGUUAACAAUUCCAUGUAUUUGGAACAGUCCUUAUUAUUAAAGAAUUGGGAAAAAUUUGUUAUUAUUGAUUUAUUAUUCAUUGAGAAAGCAUACAAGUUUUAGUAAAUAAAUUUUAGAAGUGGGACUCCUGAAAAAUUGUAGAGGUUUGAAAUAAUCUCCUCUCUACAAGGAUUUGGAUGAUAACAUGGAUAAGAACCACUUAUUCAUAUAUUAAAUUUCCUUUUACUUCAUGAACAACAAGAUUUUGAGGAUGUUUUUCUUAUGGUCAUUGUUUCUGUUAAUAACCCUUGUUUGUGUGGAAAGAUAAACUUGUUUGACUGUAUAAAACACUCUGUCCACUCAGUUUAUAGAAUGGCUUGACUGACUCCCUGUCCUGCCAUCAAUGCAGGGUUCAGGUCACAUGAGACUGCAGCAAUGGGGGGGAUGCAUUCCAGAAUUCAUGACGUAUUUAAUUCAUGAUGUAUUUCAUGAUGUAUUUCAGAAUUCUCAUUAAGAACAACACAUCUUGAAUCACACCUUCCUUUGACUUGUCCAUGAAUUCCUCUUCUGGCCAUAAGAAAAUAGUGAUCUUGUAAUAAUGAGGGGCUUGCAAGACCAGUUUAAUUAAUGGUUGAAAAAUAUAUCUAUUAACAUUGGAAAAUAGAUCUCAAAAUCUCAACAGCUGUGAGUAAAAUGAUGGACUGACUAUCACCUGUAAGUUUUUGAAUUGGCAUAUUUUCAGACAAGUUUCAGGAAGGGCCUAAGCCUGGGAAUAGAGGGCUCUGAUUUGCAUUCCCAAAUCUAGUCUAAGUCUGCGUCAUGAUCUAGUUUGGUGGGGUGUUAAUUUAUUUCAUUUUUAGAUGAAUAUUAAGUGUUAUUUGCCAUAUAAUCAAGCAUUUCAAGUCGUUUGUUACACAAGGGUAAAAGGAUGCUCUCAGUUUAGGUGUGCCACACUAAGAAAAGGUGGCUUGGUUUCCACCUGAACAGCGUGGUACUUGGAAAAGAAGUGGCAGCUGAUCCAGAUUAUAAUGGAAGAUGACAUAAGGUGAAACUUAGAGAUCAUUUGGCAUUGAAUGAUAAGAGCCAGUAGAUGCCUAAAGGCAAAUUUAGGGAGAUUACAGCCGCCUAAACCAAAGAAUGUGAUAAAGAAAAAUUCUGUCCAUCCUUUAAGGUCACGCUCACAGUAUCCCUCAAGGCUGAGAAUUGUUCUGAAGGUCAAGCUUGUCUGUAUUCCACAGGAUAAGCCUGCUAGCAUGAUUCAAGCACAACAGGAAUAAACCCUCCAGGAAUCUGCAUGGCCAAAAAUGUGAAGCAUGACUUUCGUUCCCAGCCUUGAAUGAACAAGAUGUCCAUGAGACUGAUAUGUGGAAGAAGUUUAUGCAUGGUAAUCAAUACACUUCUGCCACUUCAGAGUGGCACAGACAUAAAAUCAGGUACCUGAGUAUCUUUGUCUUCCCUUAUUUUCAAAAAGAAAUUACUCUUGCCACCAAAAAUUAUCUGUACAUUGACACUUCUGUGCAUCACGAUCCUGUCUGGUUUGAUUAUUCAGCAGCUGCCAGUCUUUUGGGGCUCACAAACCAGGAACCUCCAAAGCAAAACUCCUUCAAUGAUAUUCAGUAAAUACAAAGACAAACAGUGAUAUUACUUGUCACAAAGAAAAUCAGCAUUUACAUUUAAAAAUUACCUGAAGAGUCAUGGUAAAGUCUCAUUUAUAGAGUGGCCAAGUGUUUCUAUUUCCUGGGCAGAGGGGGGGUCAGAUUCUAGAACCUUCUCAUUCUGACAGAGUCAGCUCCAGCUUUCACAAUUCCUAGGACAGUGCCCACGGUCUCCAGUUUGCAGGGUGCUCUGAUAUCUCUCUCCUGUUGCUAUUGGUCUGUACUGCAAUGACAAAUUAUCAGGGGAAGAGAGAAUGAGAGAGGAAGGAAGGGAAAGAAAAAAGAAAGGAAAGAAAAAGGAAAGAAAAAGGCAAAGGCAAGGCAAGGCAAGGGGAAAGGGGAAAGUGGAAAGGGGAAAGGCAUGGGAAUCUGACUUUACAGACCAUUGACAAUAAAGAACUUGUUUGGUACUAGGGUAAGGAUUUUAAGGAUUUUAUAACCCCAGGCUUCCAUAAUGUCCAAACAAGGUGUUUAAUCAGAGGCAUCAAAUCUCAUUUGUGACAAGGAUAAGUAACAGAAAUAGAGCAAAAAUGGACAAUGGAAAGACUGCCAGGGUUUUUAGGGGGAGAGAGUACCCUAUAACUAACUACAAAAAAAAAAAAAAAA